Molecule: non-coding RNA, 135 nt
Organism: Triticum aestivum (bread wheat)
Lineage: Eukaryota; Viridiplantae; Streptophyta; Magnoliopsida; Poales; Poaceae
Source: Rfam
GAUAUACUCCCUCCGUCCGGAAAUACUUUUCAUCAAAAUGAAUAAUAGAGGAUGUAUCUAGAUGUAUUUUAGUUUUAGAUACAUAUUUUUUUAUCCAUUUUAAUGAUAAGUAUUUUCGGACGGAGGGAGUAUAUA